This 1131-nucleotide ribosomal RNA is filed under the name Salmonella enterica subsp. enterica serovar Typhimurium. RNAcentral's name for it is "partial 23S ribosomal RNA". It matches the Rfam family "Bacterial large subunit ribosomal RNA", at positions 711 to 1755 of the family's 2925-position model. The record is from RNAcentral. Lineage: Bacteria; Pseudomonadati; Pseudomonadota; Gammaproteobacteria; Enterobacterales; Enterobacteriaceae.
AGACCCGAAACCCGGUGAUCUAGCCAUGGGCAGGUUGAAGGUUGGGUAACACUAACUGGAGGACCGAACCGACUAAUGUUGAAAAAUUAGCGGAUGACCUGUGGCUGGGGGUGAAAGGCCAAUCAAACCGGGAGAUAGCUGGUUCUCCCCGAAAGCUAUUUAGGUAGCGCCUCGUGAAUUCAUCUCCGGGGGUAGAGCACUGUUUCGGCUAGGGGGCCAUCCCGGCUUACCAACCCGAUGCAAACUGCGAAUACCGGAGAAUGUUAUCACGGGAGACACACGGCGGGUGCUAACGUCCGUCGUGAAGAGGGAAACAACCCAGACCGCCAGCUAAGGUCCCAAAGUCAUGGUUAAGUGGGAAACGAUGUGGGAAGGCCCAGACAGCCAGGAUGUUGGCUUAGAAGCAGCCAUCAUUUAAAGAAAGCGUAAUAGCUCACUGGUCGAGUCGGCCUGCGCGGAAGAUGUAACGGGGCUAAACCAUGCACCGAAGCUGCGGCAGCGAACGUAUCACCCAAGACAACUUUACGGAGUUGACGAUUGACGGAGCGAAGCGACGUCAAAGCGUUCAUUAAAGUCGAGUUGGCUUAGGGAUACGUUCGUUGGGUAGGGGAGCGUUCUGUAAGCCUGUGAAGGUGUGUCGUGAGGCAUGCUGGAGGUAUCAGAAGUGCGAAUGCUGACAUAAGUAACGAUAAAGCGGGUGAAAAGCCCGCUCGCCGGAAGACCAAGGGUUCCUGUCCAACGUUAAUCGGGGCAGGGUGAGUCGACCCCUAAGGCGAGGCCGAAAGGCGUAGUCGAUGGGAAACGGGUUAAUAUUCCCGUACUUGGUGUUACUGCGAAGGGGGGACGGAGAAGGCUAUGUUGGCCGGGCGACGGUUGUCCCGGUUUAAGCGUGUAGGUGUGUGUUCCAGGUAAAUCCGGUUCACUUUAACACUGAGGCGUGACGACGAGGCACUACGGUGCUGAAGCAACAAAUGCCCUGCUUCCAGGAAAAGCCUCUAAGCAUCAGGUAACAUCAAAUCGUACCCCAAACCGACACAGGUGGUCAGGUAGAGAAUACCAAGGCGCUUGAGAGAACUCGGGUGAAGGAACUAGGCAAAAUGGUGCCGUAACUUCGGGAGAAGGCACGCUGAC